This 21-nucleotide non-coding RNA is filed under the name Arabidopsis thaliana (thale cress). The record is from RNAcentral. Lineage: Eukaryota; Viridiplantae; Streptophyta; Magnoliopsida; Brassicales; Brassicaceae.
UCGGCUGCUUUGUUGAGCCGU